This 5036-nucleotide ribosomal RNA is filed under the name Triticum aestivum (bread wheat). RNAcentral describes it as "partial small subunit ribosomal RNA". Lineage: Eukaryota; Viridiplantae; Streptophyta; Magnoliopsida; Poales; Poaceae. The record is from RNAcentral.
GGGGGCUUCGCCAUUUGGAUUCAUCCAGCCCGCACGAUGUGCGCUGCUGUCCGCUGACUAUGUACCUUCUAACUGUGUGGUAAGCAUCUCAUCGUUCAUUUUUUUGUACACUAUGUGCUUGGGUUAGAGCAGAUGACGAGUGGGCCACUCUUACACGCAGGCCUGUUUUGCAGUCACAACACGUGUUUGUGUUUGGGUGGAAAGCACGGAUUGACAGCGGCGAUCGUGGGCCUACGGCAAAAAAAGGGUGGACUGGAGCGCGUGCACCGCGUGAGCCAAUCCUCUCCCGAAAACCUAGCGCACCAGAGCCCCACGCCCUCUUCUUCCCCUCUGCGCCGUCUUGCCUCCCCUCUCGCACCGCCGCCUUCUCUCGGCCACCCUCCUGGCACAUUCUUCUGGGCCUCUUCCCCGGCGCUCGAACUGCAGCGGCGGCGGCGCCGCUCCUCCUCACGGGCAUGGUCGCAUCUGGAGGAGUAGGCCGUGGUCAUGGCGGCGCGCGACACUAGGCUGUGGCGCUGUUCGUCGAGGCGGAGCCGCGGAGGUGAGUGGCUGCGGUGAUGGCAGAUGUAUGAGGAGGAGGAGGCCACGGACCCAUGGUCAUGGCGGUGCGACGGAGUUCGUACCCGGCCGGCGCGGCACCAGGCUGCGAAGGAGAGAGUUAGAGGAAAUAGGAGAGGUAGGCCCGACAACAGAUGGGAGAGGGUCACCGGCCGGCGUCGGCCUGUGCCGGCGAGGUUGCUCGCCUUGUUGCGCAGGAGGGAAAGGCAACGGGACCAGCAUCCGGGGCGGUGGCGGUGGCUGGCCGAGGUGGUUCUCGCCAAAGAAGCAGGUGGCAGUGCAAGGCAGCACGGCGCAGCAAGCAUGAGCUGCUUGAGAGUGCGGCUGGCAAGGCAGGAAAGGGAAAAAGCUUUUGUGGUGAUCGGGAUCAAUACCUCCUUCAGUAGCAAGAAGUGACAUGAUUCUGUCAGGGAGACAUUGAUGACUCGAGGGCUAGGUGUCCUUCCUCCUCUUGGUGACAUAUAAGAGGACCUGCAACAUUGAGCCGGGAAGUCCUUUUUUAGGCAGUGGUCAUGGAGCAACAAUAUAUGCUGCGUGCAUUGCAGGUUACUUCCCACUUUAUGUUUCAGUUGUUUAUAUGUUCUGCUACUGAGAGGAAGUUAAUUUUCCAUGUGUGUAAGGUUCAAGGAAUGGAAGUAGCUAUAUCUGAGAUCUGAUAUUAUCGUUGGCAACUUCACUGCACAUUGGAAGUCAUAUUUCAACUGUGUUAGGGGGUGGGACACAUAUUUCUUGCCGAUGAUGUUAUCAUGUCUCUUGAAAUUUAGCAGUUUCUUUUUUCUGCAUACAUUUGGGCGUGCUUAUUUAUUUCAGGCGAGACGUCUCCAUGAAUCCUGCAUGUUUCCAGAGUUUGUCUAUACCUUCAUUUGGGGGGAAUGCUAUAUUAUCUUAUUCCAACUUGACUUAUCAUAUCAGGUUUUAUUUCUGAAACUUGUAAUAGGGUUAUAUCCGAAUCUUGAAAUAAAUCUACUAUACGGCUGACUUCUUCACUUCAUGUAUGUUUUGUUUAGCUACCUAUGCUAUAGAUGGCUUUGGUACUCAAAUCUUAUCGCUGGUCUGCUGACAUAACUAGAUGACCCGUUGCGCCAAAUGGCGCAAAGGCCGGCAACAAGCCAAGUAUUGCAAGAGUGGUGAUAGGAAAACUCAGUCAUAGAUCGAAAUAAUGAGUACUUACUGCUGGUUACUGUCUCUGUUCAUGAUUACUGUUUCUCCUGGAACAGUCUAUGCUAAAUGAUAGUGCUAUAUCCCUUGGUUGGAAGGUGGACGCUGCCAGUUAGGGCAUGCCUCUUCCUUGCUUAGCAUAUUUGUUGUUGCUGGUGAGUACUCGAUGUUUGGAACACAGAAAGUAGUAAAAACAGAUAAUUAUAGAUAAGGGUGGCAUUAUGCAUAUUAAUAAUUUCAUGAGGAACAACAACAAAGGUUAUAUAAGUAAAGUAUAGGUGGUAGCUGUUCAAAAGCAGCAGAGAUAGCAUGGCCGAAAAACAGAGGAAGGUUUCAUCCUAUUACAAAGCUUGAUUAGUAGUCCUUAGAAUGCUAGAUGAUAUUUAGAUACGACCUUAGUUGCUGUCGAUGGUUCAUCUAAAGGCAAUGCACGAUGAGAACCAGGCGCUGCUUUGUGGUGACCUUGAAACGAAAGGCACCUUGAAAAGAACCAUGAGAUGCGGCCAACAAACUUCCCUACUGCAAACAUCAGUUCAUGCUCAGACUCUACAUUACACAUGAACUUUCACUAUACUGUAUGUAGAACUAAUUCUUUGAAACAUGUCAUAGGACUUCAUAUCAACUCACAACCCAAUAAAAGCCUAAAUUCCAAACAACAUCUCCAUAAAAAGCAAUAGGAAAAUGUAUAAAACCCCAUGUAAAAGAUUCUUAAAAACAGUAUGAAGACAGUGGUAUUACAUUCAAGGAAAGCAAGACAAAAUAUUGAUCUUGGAAGCACAUUACAUCAGCCUUGAUAUGAUCUGCUGUGCCUCAGUGGCUUCGUCGAUGUCUUUGGAGCAGUGCCGGCCUCGGCAUCCAAGAGCGGCACAUCGGCGGUGUCAUGGACGGCCUCCAUGCCAUCCAGGGGCGAUGUGGGCCGGCCAGCAUGCGUGGGGGCAAAGGUCACGACCAGGAUGCGGAUCCAUGGCGGCGGCGCCGCGGAACUCCUCUGCACACCUCCCCCUUGACGUUGUAUGCCACACCACAGCGCCUCCACGUCAUCGAACACACCCGCCACGUAGCACCAUGUGCAUCCUCAUCCACGGGGAUGACAGCCCCGAUCCAGCGGAUCGACCCGCCACAAACCUCUAGGUCGCACCGCCGACGCAGAUCAACGUCGGCCGGUGACCCUCUCUCAUCCACCGUCGCACCUCCUUUUCCUUCCUGCAGAUCGAAUCGAGUGCCGCCGCCACCAUCAAAGAUGAAUCUGGGAGGAAGCGAGGAGAGGAGAGGUGGGGGCAGGGAGGGGAUGCGCUGGAAGCCAUGGGCUGAGGGGAUGUAGCGGCCAAUAUGUCUACGUACAGCCAUGAACGUGGAGAACAACCAAUGGUUUACCGGCUGCCAGCAGCCAAAAACCUCGCUAAAGGAAAAGAAUCGUUCGGUCCAACAAGCUCAGCGCACACGGUUGCUCUGGAAUGGCGGGUAGUGUAGGCAGGUUUAUAUGUUCGAUUUCAAAUGGGUGGCAACAUACGAAUAUAUGUAGAAAUAUUUUAGAGUGUAGAUUCACUCAUUUUGCUUUGUAUGUAGUCACUUGUUAAAAUGUCUAGAAAGACAAAUAUUUGAAAAUGGAGGAAGUAGUUUAUACAAGAAAAAUGUAUAUCUAGUUGGAGCACUAAAAAAAGUUGGUACUCCGUACAUGCAUAGGUAGUCUACGGUCGUCUGAUCACUCACAAAGUUUGAUGCUUGCUUGUUGACACAUUAGCCCGUGAAAGUGUGAAAACGUUCGCGACUUUACAAGUUACAACAAACCACACGGACAACCGUUUUCUAUGCAGCUCCCCUCACCCACUCGCCCAACCCCUACCCGUCUCUUAUCCAUUCCAGUGACUGAGAGUCAGAGGAGAUGCGGCAGCGACACCGAUCUGCUCGCGGCGGCCAUGGCGGGUCUUGCGGCGUGGGACAGCUGCUUCCGGCGUCCGACGGCAGCACGCAUCCCCCAAAGCCCGACCUGCUCAAGCUACGCGCAGCUCGUCCACCUUCCACUCAAAGCGACAACGGCGGCCGCGGAGGACCAGUGGCAGCCAUGGCUGGUCUCGAUUCGACGUGCCGCGGCAGUGCUAGGCGCGUGUAGGCUGCUCGGCAUCAGCGGCCGACAGCGCGCACCUGUGCAAGGAGGUCCUCGUCGAAGAAUAUCAGAGCCGCCUUGUUCUUGAACUCACAGAGGAGCAUGUGGUCGCCCUCUGGGUCCUUGUACUGGCGAGGUGACGAAUCGGUGACCACGCUCCGGGGCGAGCGAGGCCGGGGUGCACGAUGAGCCAAGUCGCUAUCCUGGGCUCUGUAAUUGGAAAUUUCAGGCCGAGCGAGCACAUCCGGUUGGUUUGCUGGCGCCUUGGCGGGAGCUGCUGUUGCUCCUCGCUGGGAACAACCACCAUAUCCUCAGGCGGCGGUAGCGACUCGUUCGUGUGCGCGCUGGGCCGGAGCGUCACGGGCGCCAUCACGGCGACCACACCAAGCGCAAGGGCCUUGGGAACAGCCAGAUGCCCCUACACUACAAGCUUUCUCAGAAGAUGGCAUUAGGUAGUGUUCUUUCACGGCACUACUAUCUAUUUCAUGAGGAACCACUUGGCAGAUCUGUAGGAUCGCAAUGUUCAGCCUGGCUUCAAUCUUUGAUUUUGAUUUUAUUGUAAUGACACGAUAUUAAGAAUAGCAGAGAUAGACAUGCCUAUGUCUACAGCUAACUAUUCAAGAUAGACAUGCCUGUGUCUACAAGAAAAUCAGCUUAGCAUUCAUAUCUCAUGUUCUCAACUCCCUAUACACUCUGACCAGACAUAUAAUUAAGCUUAGGUCAGCAAACCGGACAAGGCAUAUAUCGUUACCGUGUAGAGCAUUUUGCACGCUGGUAUGUUUUGUUGCCAAGCUAAGAUCGGCGAGACCCGUGCCAAUACAUGAGAGUCCAUGAUAUCAUACAGUUCGCAGUCGAAAAAUUCAUGAUAUGGGUGAUAUGGAAGUCAUUGCCUUCUUUGCUGGUACAUUCCCUGAUUGCCUGGACUUCUUGGGUCAAUCGCUGGACGCCACCCCCAUCUCCUGGACGUCAUGACGCCGCCGAUCUCCUAUAUGAACUCAAUUUCUCCAAUUUCUCUCAGCUGUGAGCUCAUAUAUUUUUUGAGCUGUGAACUUAUUAUGUAAAUUCAACACUUUGUUUUGUGAGAAGUGAACUCAUUGCAUAUUCGUCUAUCAAUCAUGGUUGAAGUGUCUAUAUGUCUCUCCCUUCCGAAUGUACUAUAAUUUGAGGUCUACAUACUUUUUUCUAGCCACAAUUUUGUUUCAAAGGCUUCUGCAAC